UACGUAGGUGGCAAGCGUUGUCCGGAUUUAUUGGGUUUAAAGGGUGCGUAGGCGGCUUUGUAAGUCAGUGGUGAAAUAUGGCAGCUCAACUGUCAGGGUGCCAUUGAUACUGCAGAGCUUGAGUACAGAUGAGGUAGGCGGAAUUGACGGUGUAGCGGUGAAAUGCUUAGAUAUCGUCAAGAACACCGAUAGCGAAGGCAGCUUACUGGGCUGUAACUGACGCUGAGGAGCGAAAGCAUGGGGAGCGAACAGG
This 253-nucleotide ribosomal RNA is filed under the name uncultured bacterium. Its description in RNAcentral is "partial 16S ribosomal RNA". It matches the Rfam family "Bacterial small subunit ribosomal RNA", at positions 524 to 776 of the family's 1533-position model. The record is from RNAcentral.